Molecule: long non-coding RNA, 882 nt
Organism: Helianthus annuus (common sunflower)
Lineage: Eukaryota; Viridiplantae; Streptophyta; Magnoliopsida; Asterales; Asteraceae
Exons: 4
Source: RefSeq, a predicted model, not a curated record
AUUUAUUGGUUUAGUAUAGGAUGAUUUUGGGAGGGAAUCCAUCUCAAUACACAAUUUUUCUUCUUGGACGCGGGAUCCGGUUGAGGAUUCGGGUCACCCAGUAAUAAAAACGGAUCCCUUAUAUUCUUUGAACGCUUUCUUCCUUCAGACAUAUUUGUACGCUUCUUUUCCUAAACCCUAGAGAGCCUUCGUCUCCAUUUCCAUUCUCCAACUGCAUUCGGGUUUAAAGCAUUUGCAUACGAACGAUUGAGUUAUGUCUAACCUUCCUAAUACCAAAUCCUCUUUCAAUUAUAUUCAUUCUUCCUAAUCGGUUUAAUCCUCCCCAUCGAUCUAUGGAUUUUAUUGUUGAUUCCAUCUACGAAAAUGCUGAUAGAAACAAAUUCCGGCGAAAGCUAGGGUUCUGGAAAAUUUAGUAGUGAUCUGAAGUCAUCGUCACUGAUUUUACUUAAGGAAUCGGUUUAGUUGAUGAAAAUGCCAAUAGAAACAGAUUCCGGCGAAAGCUAGGGUUCCGGCGAAGUUAAUAGUGAUCUGGAUUCGUCGUCACUGAUUUUGCUUAAGGAAACAGCAUGCUCUUCUCUAUUUGUUUGAUAGAAACAAAUUCCGGCGAGAGCUAGGGUUCCGGCGAAGUUAGUAGUUGUUGUCGUCCCCGAUUUUGCUUAAGGAAACGACUUCCUUCUUCUACGAGGAUUGGAGUAUAAUCUACGGCAAAAGCAACCACCAUUCAGUACGCAGGUAUGACUUCUUAUAUCAUUUUCCUUUUUGCGAUAGUAAACGGUAAUAUCAUCAGUAUUAUUAUUAGGGCUUCAUAAGAGUUUAUCAGUAGGCUCAUUAUUAUGGCUUCUUUUGAGCGGUCUCAGGCUUAUCACGAACUUCUCAGUUGUG